GUCACGAUAGCUCAGCUGGCAGAGUUUCUGCCCAGUAGGUAGAAUGUCGCUGGCUCGAUUCCGGUUCGCGGCU
This 73-nucleotide transfer RNA is filed under the name Fasciola hepatica (liver fluke). It matches the Rfam family "tRNA". From Rfam's summary of the family: Transfer RNA (tRNA) molecules are approximately 80 nucleotides in length. Their secondary structure includes four short double-helical elements and three loops (D, anti-codon, and T loops). Lineage: Eukaryota; Metazoa; Platyhelminthes; Trematoda; Plagiorchiida; Fasciolidae. The record is from Rfam by way of RNAcentral.